Daphnia pulex (common water flea) is the source of this 283-nucleotide long non-coding RNA. RefSeq lists it as uncharacterized. NCBI's taxonomy places the organism in Eukaryota, Metazoa, Arthropoda, Branchiopoda, Diplostraca, Daphniidae. The record is from RefSeq and is a predicted model, not a curated record. The transcript is spliced from 3 exons.
GAUUGAAACAGAUUGUGGCUGAGUGACCGGCCUUUACAAUUUACGUUAACCAGUCGUGGGGAGAGGAGUAGUUUUACAAAGUAGAGUGAAAUUGAAUUAAUUGCCUAAAAAGUUCAUUGACUCAUGGAUCAUAGCUUCACAAUGUAUAACAAAAUAUCCCAGCUUAAGAAAAAUUCAAAGGAGAGGGUUGAAAUUGAUGACCUGAUCAUUCUCACCCAGCUGAUCACUGACUUUCUAUUAAAUACUUUUUAACAAUCAAUCUUUUUAUUAUUAUCCAGUAAAA